GCCCCCGUCUCCAUUCCCCUGGCUUUGGUCAUUAUCGCCCUCCUCCUGAGCUGCUUGCCUGCUGUCCCGGGUCCCACAGAGCCAGCACCUGCCGGAAGUCCCUCCAUCUGAUCCCACUUAACUCCCACCGGAAGCAGCUAGGGCUGAGGCCCUGGAGGAGGCCUUGAUGAGCGCACGGUCUGGCCAGGCCAGGGUCAGGAAUGACGAGGUGAAGUACAAGGCUGUGGAGUCACCCCUGCUUUUUGUCCUCAGGAGAACAACCAGGAGGAAGUACUGGAAGGAAGGAAGGGAGAUCGCUCGGCCGGGGGACUCAAGCACCAAUGUGAAGCUGAAGAGAGUCGUGGAGACGGGGGGCAGUGAGACCGAGUCUGCCCAGGCCACGCCCGUGGCCGGGGUGUGGCCCUGGCCCUGGGGAGGGUCACUGUUUGAGAGGAGGACGCAGCUUUAUAAAAUGACUCCAUGAGAGCCACGAGAACCCAGGAGCCCAGGAAGACAGGCCCGUGACUUCUUUCUUAGGCACGAGAGGCGCUGGGACAGUGAUUUGCCUCAUACAGGCCUUUGGAGAGUUUAUACAUGUUC
Molecule: long non-coding RNA, 579 nt
Filed under: Capra hircus (goat)
Lineage: Eukaryota; Metazoa; Chordata; Mammalia; Artiodactyla; Bovidae
Description: lncRNA (ENSCHIG00000001819.1)
Source: RNAcentral